CCUGUGUUCCAAGUGCCUGGUGCCUGGCAAACACUCAAAAUGACUUUGCUGGAGAAUGAAGCGGGCUGGAGAAUGAAGGAGCUGUGCCUAAAGGUUUCCAGGACAGCACAUUGACGCAGCCUUGUGGCCGCAUCGGAGGGUUCCACACCACAUGACUUACAGGGCAGACGAGAGAGCAGCUCAGAAGCAGGCCCAGGUGGGCAGCCAGGAGGCAUGUGCUCCAGAAAUACCUGCAGGAUGACCGGCCUUCCUGAAUGAUGGUGAACACUAGGGAAGUGACCUGAAACCCAGGCAAGCACAUUGUGCUGCUGUCAGGAAGCGACCCAACAGAACACCGUUUGAUUUUGGAAUCGUUUUCCCAAACAGCUGUCCUCUGCUCUCCUAGAACACAUGCCGUCCUCACGUCUCUAAAGACUCACUUCCUCGCCUGGAGCCUGCUCACUCAGGGAAAGCAUACCGGUUUUUUUCUGUGUCAUGGAAGGAAGAUUGCUUCUUCCCCUUCCCUCUCACUUGCCAUGUGACCUAGGGGAAACGACUUUCCCUUUCUGGGUCCUGUUUCCUUGUCAGAAAAAAUAUAUUGUGCUGGAUGGUCUCUCAGGUACCCCUUAAUUCUUAAUCUGUGAGUCUAUGUAUCUUU
RNAcentral lists this long non-coding RNA (637 nucleotides) under Bos taurus (domestic cattle). Its description in RNAcentral is "long non-coding RNA NONBTAT005971". The record is from RNAcentral. Lineage: Eukaryota; Metazoa; Chordata; Mammalia; Artiodactyla; Bovidae.